This is a long non-coding RNA of Cebus imitator (Panamanian white-faced capuchin), 1201 nucleotides long. RefSeq lists it as uncharacterized. The record is from RefSeq and is a predicted model, not a curated record. NCBI's taxonomy places the organism in Eukaryota, Metazoa, Chordata, Mammalia, Primates, Cebidae. The transcript has 3 exons.
GGCUUCACCAGAUACGUGGAGAAGGAUAUGUAGGGCACACCCCAGAUGUGGAUGCAGUUUGGGCGAUGAGGGAGACUGCACCACCCUGCAGUGUCACCUGCCUAGGCACAGGUAAACCAGGGAUCGGAAAGACUGGAGGGAAUUAACCUUCUCCCUCCCCCCAUUCGAGUGCCAGCGCGCUGGCAGGCUCCUCCAAAGCGCCGGAGCGUGGGUCUGACGGUUCUAUUUCGGCAUGCAGAACCUGAGACCCCACCCGAGCCAAGCGGGGAGAGAGGAGGGUAAAGCGAUGGAGGAGGGGGCAGCUUGCGCCUGGCUGGGGAAAGCUCCGCGCGGCAGCACCCGGAGGUCCGGUGGCCGGCGCGCACUGGUACCAGUCUCUCCACUGCGGUAGCAUCCCGACAUGACAUUGCAGCUGCAACAAAGCGCCGGCCUCCGCCGACCCUCGGAGCCCCACACCGCGGCCCUGGCCCCACACCACGCAGAGGGGCAGUGGCCGUGGGCGGGGGCCUGUGGCUGCCGGUGCGGGGGGCGCGAGGUAGGGGAAAAAGCCCUCAAAUGCGCAGAAGCCGGGCGGCCACCUAGCGCCUCCUCCCGCAAAGCCAGACUGCAGGGAAAACAAUUGCUCUUCAUUCCCGAGCCCCGGCGGAGCCCUGCGAUUCCCCCCAAUAACCUGGUCGGGGCCCUGCGACGCCUCUCGAUGGUUUCGGACACGAUGAUUAAAUCAGAGAGCGAAGGUGGAUGUAGACCAUAGAGCACUUAGAUGAACUGCCUGACAAGAAAAAGAGGCCUGUGCGUUGCUUCUCAAACUUUGCUGCACUGUGGAAUCGCCUGGAGAGUUGAAAACGUGUAUAUUGAUUCCUGGGCCUCAACUCUGGAGACUCUGAUUUCAUUGGAACAGGACAUGACUUGGCCUGGGGAUUGAGGUACUGACAGCACAUGGCACACUGUAUUGACAUUACCUCUUCAGCCAUCUGGUCCACACCCCUCAAUUGGGAGCCCUAUGGUGCUGAGCUUAUCCUAGCCUUCUUUGAUCCCUUCUGCUUCAAAAGAAGUUCACUUUUUAAACUAUCAGCUUCAAGAUCCAACACCCAGUGCUUCUGAAGGAAACCUGCUAAGUCAUAAGUACCUACUCUUUCCUUUAUUAGUUAACAUGUUGUCCUUUGGUUCUUUGUUCUAUGCACACUUUGGAAGAAGCUAAAAU